UGAAUACGAGAUGCUACGGCAUCGAAGCAGUCUAUGUCAUACUUCCAAGAAAAGCUUGCACUGUCAUAAACAAAUAAUGCCUGUACCAUAACCGACACAGGUGGGUAGGUAGAGUAUACUAAGGGGCGCGAGAUAACUCUCUCUAAGGAACUCGGCAAAAUGACUCCGUAACUUCGGGAGAAGGAGUGCCUUAUUUUAUAAGGUUGCAAUAACAAGAUCCAAGCAACUGUUUACCAAUAACACAGGUCUCCGCUAAGUCGUAAGACGAUGUAUGGGGGCUGACGCCUGCCCAGUGCCAGAAGGUUAAAGAAGUUGGUUAGCAUUAGCGAAGCUGAUAACUGAAGCCCUGGUGAACGGCGGCCGUAACUAUAACGGUCCUAAGGUAGCGAAAUUCCUUGUCGGGUAAGUUCCGACCCGCACGAAAGGCGUAAUGAUUUGGAUACUGUCUCGGAGAGGGGCUCGGUGAAAUAGACUUGUCUGUGAAGAUGCGGACUACCUGCACCAGGACAGAAAGACCCUAUGAAGCUUUACUGUAACUUGAGAUUGAAAUUGGACUUUAUUUGCGCAGUAUAGGUGGGAGACGUUGAAAAUAUUCUUGCGGGAAUAUUGGAGUCAUCAGUGAGAUACCACUCUUAUAAUGUUAGAUUUCUAACUUUGUAUCAUUAUCUGGUCAAAGAACAGUCUCAGGCGGGCAGUUUGACUGGGGCGGUCGCCUCCCAAACGGUAACGGAGGCGCACAAAGGUUUCCUCUGAACGUGUAGAAAUCGUAUCUAGAGUGUAAAGGCAUAAGGAAGCUUGUCUGUGAGACCUACAAGUCGAGCAGGGACGAAAGUCGGUCUUAGUGAUCUGACGGUGCUGAGUGGAAAGGCCGUCACUCAACGGAUAAAAGUUACUCUAGGAUAACAGGCUGAUCUCCCCCAAGAGUUCACAUCGACGGGGAGGUUUGGCACCUCGAUGUCGGCUCAUCGCAUCCUGGGGCGGUAGUACGUCCCAAGGGUUGGGCUGUUCGCCCAUGAAAGCGGUACGCGAGCUGGGUUCAGAACGUCGUGAGACAGUUCGGUCCAUAUCCGGUGUAGGCGUUAGAAUAUUGAGAGGAGCCUUCUUUAGUACGAGAGGACCGAGAAGGACAUACCUCUGGUGUACCAGUUAUCGUGCCAACGGUAAACGCUGGGUAGCUAUGUAUGGAGAGGAUAACCGCUGAAAGCAUCUAAGUGGGAAGCCCACCUCAAGAUAAGUAUUCCC
Molecule: ribosomal RNA, 1242 nt
Filed under: metagenome
Description: bacterial LSU rRNA
Rfam family: Bacterial large subunit ribosomal RNA
Source: RNAcentral